UUCAUAUUCACCUAUGAAUAUGAAAACGCAAACGGGGGCUAUCUACACCAAUAACGACGACUCAUUUAUUUAAUCGUAUUAGCUGUACUCAGUUCCAAUGUUAUUUUAUUUUACACGGCUUGGGACUUAGCCAAAAGGCUAUGAAUACAAUCGUUAUGUUAGUUGAGGAUUACAGAAAUGAAAAUGGUGACGAGGACAGAAUCACAAUGGAAGAGUAUGUGCGGAAGGAUGAGGACUUAAAUAGAAAAUUUUAUAAAGAUGAUAAUGACUACAACUACAAAUUCGAUAGUGUAGCUAUGAUCGAUGAUAAAAGUUUACCGGAUCUAUUGAUAUAUUUGAGCAAUUUGGAAAAGACAAUUGACGGUUGGGAGGGAAAUACUUUUACUACUUUUGAAGUACAACUUUUCAUGAAAGUUUUUAAAGC
Long non-coding RNA from Adelges cooleyi (spruce gall adelgid), 424 nucleotides. RefSeq lists it as uncharacterized. The transcript has 4 exons. The record is from RefSeq and is a predicted model, not a curated record. NCBI's taxonomy places the organism in Eukaryota, Metazoa, Arthropoda, Insecta, Hemiptera, Adelgidae.